This 497-nucleotide ribosomal RNA is filed under the name uncultured bacterium. RNAcentral's name for it is "partial 16S ribosomal RNA". It matches the Rfam family "Bacterial small subunit ribosomal RNA", at positions 28 to 507 of the family's 1533-position model. The record is from RNAcentral.
GAUGAACGCUGGCGGCGUGCCUAAUACAUGCAAGUCGAGCGAACAGACGAGGAGCUUGCUCCUCUGACGUUAGCGGCGGACGGGUGAGUAACACGUGGAUAACCUACCUAUAAGACUUGGAUAACUUCGGGAAACCGGAGCUAAUACCGGAUAAUAUAUUCAACCGCAUGGUUCAAUAGUGAAUGACGGUUUUGCUGUCACUUAUAGAUGGUUCCGCGCCGCAUUAGCUAGUUGGUAAGGUAACGGCUUACCAAGGCGACGAUGCGUAGCCGACCUGAGAGGGUGAUCGGCCACACUGGAACUGAGACACGGUCCAGACUCCUACGGGAGGCAGCAGUAGGGAAUCUUCCGCAAUGGGCGAAAGCCUGACGGAGCAACGCCGCGUGAGUGAUGAAGGUCUUCGGGUCGUAAAACUCUGUUAUUAGGGAAGAACAAAUGUGUAAGUAACUAUGCACGUCUUGACGGUACCUAAUGAGAAAGCCACGGCUAACUACGUG